CCCUUAGAUGUUCUGGGCAGCACGCGCGCUACAAUGGUCUUCGCAAACGGAUGCAUUCUCGAAGGAGAAUGCCAAUCUUGGAAUCUAUGCCUUGGUCGGGACAGUUGCUUGCAAUUUUUCGACUCGAACCAGGAAUUCCCUGUAAUCGUGAUUCAUCACAUCACGAUGAAUACGUCCCUGCCCUUUGUACACACCGCCCGUCGCUCCUACCGAUCGAAGAGUUAGGUGAAUUGUUUUGAUCGAUAAGAUUUGACUAUGGUCAACUCUCGUUGUGAAAUUCUGUGAAUCUGACUGUUUAGAGGAAGGAAAAGUCGUAACA
This 319-nucleotide ribosomal RNA is filed under the name uncultured eukaryote. Its description in RNAcentral is "partial 18S ribosomal RNA". It matches the Rfam family "Eukaryotic small subunit ribosomal RNA", at positions 1470 to 1796 of the family's 1831-position model. The record is from RNAcentral.